RNAcentral lists this long non-coding RNA (1558 nucleotides) under Homo sapiens (human). Its description in RNAcentral is "long independently transcribed non-coding RNA 1911, transcript variant 4 (LINC01911)". Lineage: Eukaryota; Metazoa; Chordata; Mammalia; Primates; Hominidae. The record is from RNAcentral.
ACUGGAUAACUGAAUUCUAGAAUUCAAGCCUGAUGUCAUAGUUCCAUGAGAAUUUUAUGAGAAGGAAAAGGAUGUUGUACAUGGGCAGAAAGGUGAAAAUUGUGGCCAGAGGCAGAUUGUGGUAAAUUACAAAAUUGGCUCAUAAUCCUUUAUUCCUUCUUGCCUCCAUGCUCUUUGCAAUGUGACUUUGCCACUUUUCUCAUUAAGAGAUGGAUUCUGUUCUCCAUUGCCUUCUGUCUGGACUGGUCUUGUAACUUGUUCUGGUUAAUACAGAGGUAAAUGUGAUGACACAUCAGAAGCCCAGGCCUCAAGCAAGCUUUCCCACUUGUUCUCUUGGAACCCUUCCCAGCUAUCAGACACUACUGGCAAAGACAUUGAAAAGAAUCACACUGCUAAACCAGUAGCAGCUUUUAUCUUCUUCUCAGAUUGUAUACAUGCAGGAUAAAAGUGUUUCUAACACAUAGACUUCUAUAUUCCAGCAUAAAGAUGUAUUAGGCGCAUUUAUACUUUUACAUCGAAGCCUGUUUCAACAUGAACGGAGCCCAGGGAAGUUGGUGACUUAAUCCUCGUUAUACCCUGAUUUUGGACAAAUUUUACAAGAAGAAUAGGACUUCUACUUCUCUAUGUCUACAUGCACCUGGAACAGUGCUAGGUCUAUGCUUACAAAUUGAUUGGUUCAGGUCACCGCCAUGAGCCUCAGGACAGAAAAUUGCCGGAUAUGAGAGAGAGAGAGAGAUUUGACUGGGCUAAGAAAGAAAUGAACACGAUUUAGAGAUGGAAAUGGUGACAUAUGGGCCUUUGAAGCCUCCCAUGUUCCAGAGAAGGUGAGGUUUCACCAUGUUAGUCAGGAUGGUCUCGAUCUCCUGACCUCGUGACCUGCCCAGCUCGGCCUCCCAAAGUGCUGGGAUUACAGGCAUGAGCCAUUGCGCCUAACCUCAGAAACCAUUUUUAUAACCUCAAUACCUAAUAGAAACUGGCACAUGGACUGUGUGCGAAAUGUUCAAACUUGCUCACUGGGUUAAAAAGGAUGGACAGCUUAGAGAAAAAGAAGAAAAAAAGGAAACUCGGCUGUGCGCAGUGACUCAUGCCUAUAAUGCCAGCACUUUGGGAGGCCAAGCCCCUGUGAGCUGUGACUGCAAGAGUCAGCACCUAAAUUAGAUCAACACUACAACAUCAAAAAGCCAGCUUGAUGGCACAGCGGGGAGUGAGGAAGACUCGGUGGACAAAUCUGACUGGAAAACAAGUAGGCGUUGCAGAUGAAGACCUGGAACCAUGGUAGGAAGUGGGACAGGGAGCAUUUGGACAAGCUGUUCAAGAACUGAUCAUGCUCAUGUGUAUGGGAAAACAGAUGGAGGAAGAGAAAUUCCUGAAGAGCACAAGACUGGUGGGGCAAGGAACAAGCCUACUGAGAUGAGUUGCAGAUUUGAAGAUGGGAGAAAUGGUUUCGUUGUCUACCAUGUAAAAACUCAUUUAUGCAAGAUGCUUGAUAUCUGAAUUUCAAUUUCUUCAUUAUCAAAAUGAAUAUUAAAAAUACUCUACUUCUUAGAGUUGUCAAAAA